RNAcentral lists this ribosomal RNA (367 nucleotides) under Rickettsia massiliae. RNAcentral describes it as "bacterial SSU rRNA". It matches the Rfam family "Bacterial small subunit ribosomal RNA", at positions 63 to 448 of the family's 1533-position model. Lineage: Bacteria; Pseudomonadati; Pseudomonadota; Alphaproteobacteria; Rickettsiales; Rickettsiaceae. The record is from RNAcentral.
CGGACUAAUUGGGGCUUGCUCCAAUUAGUUAGUGGCAGACGGGUGAGUAACACGUGGGAAUCUACCCAUCAGUACGGAAUAACUUUUAGAAAUAAAAGCUAAUACCGUAUAUUCUCUACGGAGGAAAGAUUUAUCGCUGAUGGAUGAGCCCGCGUCAGAUUAGGUAGUUGGUGAAGUAAUGGCUCACCAAGCCGACGAUCUGUAGCUGGUCUGAGAGGAUGAUCAGCCACACUGGGACUGAGACACGGCCCAGACUCCUACGGGAGGCAGCAGUGGGGAAUAUUGGACAAUGGGCGAAAGCCUGAUCCAGCAAUACCGAGUGAGUGAUGAAGGCCUUAGGGUUGUAAAGCUCUUUUAGCAAGGAAGA